This 759-nucleotide ribosomal RNA is filed under the name uncultured Porphyromonas sp. RNAcentral's name for it is "bacterial SSU rRNA". It matches the Rfam family "Bacterial small subunit ribosomal RNA", at positions 28 to 776 of the family's 1533-position model. Lineage: Bacteria; Pseudomonadati; Bacteroidota; Bacteroidia; Bacteroidales; Porphyromonadaceae. The record is from RNAcentral.
GAUGAACGCUAGCGAUAGGCUUAACACAUGCAAGUCGAGGGGCAGCAUGGUCUUAGCUUGCUAAGACUGAUGGCGGCCGGCGCACGGGUGCGUAACGCGUAUGCAACUUGCCUCACAGAGGGGGAUAACCCGUCGAAAGACGGACUAAUACCGCGUACACUCCACUUUGGGCAUCCAAUGUAGAGGAAAUGAAAUUCGCUGUGAGAUAGGCAUGCGUCCCAUUAGCUAGUUGGUGAGGUAACGGCUCACCAAGGCGACGAUGGGUAGGGGAACUGAGAGGUUGAACCCCCACACUGGUACUGAGACACGGACCAGACUCCUACGGGAGGCAGCAGUGAGGAAUAUUGGUCAAUGGGCGAGAGCCUGAACCAGCCAAGUCGCGUGAAGGAUGACUGUCUUAUGGAUUGUAAACUUCUUUUAUACGGGAAUAACAAGAGUCACGUGUGGCUCCCUGCAUGUACCGUAUGAAUAAGCAUCGGCUAACUCCGUGCCAGCAGCCGCGGUAAUACGGAGGAUGCGAGCGUUAUCCGGAUUUAUUGGGUUUAAAGGGUGCGUAGGCGGCCUGUUAAGUCAGCGGUGAAAUCUAGGAGCUUAACUCCUAAAUUGCCAUUGAUACUGGCGGGCUUGAGUGUAGAUGAGGUAGGCGGAAUGCGUGGUGUAGCGGUGGAAUGCAUAGAUAUCACGCAGAACUCCGAUUGCGAAGGCAGCUUACUAAGGUACAACUGACGCUGAAGCACGAAAGCGUGGGUAUCAAACAGG